This 404-nucleotide ribosomal RNA is filed under the name Actinomycetes bacterium. RNAcentral describes it as "Actinobacteria bacterium partial 16S ribosomal RNA". It matches the Rfam family "Bacterial small subunit ribosomal RNA", at positions 355 to 776 of the family's 1533-position model. Lineage: Bacteria; Bacillati; Actinomycetota; Actinomycetes. The record is from RNAcentral.
UGGGGAAUAUUGGACAAUGGGCGCAAGCCUGAUCCAGCCAUGCCGCGUGAGUGAUGAAGGCCUUAGGGUUGUAAAGCUCUUUUGUCCGGGACGAUAAUGACGGUACCGGAAGAAUAAGCCCCGGCUAACUUCGUGCCAGCAGCCGCGGUAAUACGAAGGGGGCUAGCGUUGCUCGGAAUCACUGGGCGUAAAGGGCGCGUAGGCGGCCAUUCAAGUCGGGGGUGAAAGCCUGUGGCUCAACCACAGAAUUGCCUUCGAUACUGUUUGGCUUGAGUAUGGUAGAGGUUGGUGGAACUGCGAGUGUAGAGGUGAAAUUCGUAGAUAUUCGCAAGAACACCGGUGGCGAAGGCGGCCAACUGGACCAUUACUGACGCUGAGGCGCGAAAGCGUGGGGAGCAAACAGG